RNAcentral lists this transfer RNA (76 nucleotides) under Methyloprofundus sp. RNAcentral's name for it is "tRNA-Arg". It matches the Rfam family "tRNA". Rfam says of the family: Transfer RNA (tRNA) molecules are approximately 80 nucleotides in length. Their secondary structure includes four short double-helical elements and three loops (D, anti-codon, and T loops). The record is from RNAcentral. Lineage: Bacteria; Pseudomonadati; Pseudomonadota; Gammaproteobacteria; Methylococcales; Methylococcaceae.
GUCCCCAUUGCAUAACUGGAUAAUGCAAUCCCCUCCUAAGGGAUAGCUCCUGGUUCGAGUCCAGGUGGGGACACCA